This 75-nucleotide transfer RNA is filed under the name Bacillus cereus. RNAcentral's name for it is "tRNA-Gly". It matches the Rfam family "tRNA". From Rfam's summary of the family: Transfer RNA (tRNA) molecules are approximately 80 nucleotides in length. Their secondary structure includes four short double-helical elements and three loops (D, anti-codon, and T loops). Further hydrogen bonds mediate the characteristic L-shaped molecular structure. tRNAs have two regions of fundamental functional importance: the anti-codon, which is responsible for specific mRNA codon recognition, and the 3' end, to which the tRNAs corresponding amino acid is attached (by aminoacyl-tRNA synthetases). tRNAs cope with the degeneracy of the genetic code in two manners: having more than one tRNA (with a specific anti-codon) for a particular amino acid; and 'wobble' base-pairing, i.e. permitting non-standard base-pairing at the 3rd anti-codon position. Lineage: Bacteria; Bacillati; Bacillota; Bacilli; Caryophanales; Bacillaceae. The record is from RNAcentral. RNAcentral also lists the same sequence under 1 other name.
GCGGAAGUAGUUCAGUGGUAGAAUAUAACCUUGCCAAGGUUGGGGUCGCGGGUUCGAAUCCCGUCUUCCGCUCCA